AACGCACAUUGCGCCCGCCAGUACUCUGGCGGGCAUGCCUGUCCGAGCGUCAUUUCAACCCUCAGGGCCCGUCCGCGGGACCUGGUGUUGGGGAUCGGCCGCCCCUCGCGGCGGCCGGCCCCGAAAUCGAGUGGCGGUCACGUCGCGACCUCCUCUGCGUAGUAGAAACACCUCGCAGCUGGAUAGCGGCGCGGCCACGCCGUAAAACCCCAACUUCACCAAGGUUGACCUCGGAUCAGGUAGGAAUACCCGCUGAACUUAA
Molecule: unclassified non-coding RNA, 262 nt
Filed under: uncultured fungus
Lineage: Eukaryota; Fungi
Description: partial contains 5.8S ribosomal RNA, internal transcribed spacer 2, and large subunit ribosomal RNA
Rfam family: 5.8S ribosomal RNA (bases 1-52)
Source: RNAcentral